This 160-nucleotide unclassified non-coding RNA is filed under the name soil metagenome. Its description in RNAcentral is "partial internal transcribed spacer 1". The record is from RNAcentral.
CCGAGUUUACAACUCCCGAAACCCAUGUGAACAUACCUACUGUUGCUUCGGCGGGAUUCAGCCCGGCUCCCGUGUAACCCGGGAUCAGGCCCCGCCAGAGGACACUUAAACUCUUGUUUUAUAUUGUAAUCUUCUGAGUAGUUUAAACAUAAAUAAAUCA